AGUUAUCAUUAUAUAUCAUGAUAUGUAUCAUAUAGAUGCCGAAAAAAAUAUUAUAUUAAUAUCACGUGGCAAACAUCGAACGUAGUGAUAUCAUAACGACGUACUUGCUACGUCUGUCAAGAUAGAGUUAAGUGACAUGAAUAUAUAAAAGCCUUAUCAUUUCUUACAACAAAACUUAGACGAUAUUCAGCCCUACACAUAAAUUUGCAGAUUGGAUGGCUUUCACCAAGCGAGUGUUGUACAAUGCCUCUUGCCCCCGAACCAAGUCAAAAGUGGCGUCAAGGAGUCCUGGAUGCUGUCCUUGAAACAUAGAUUUACAGCUUCUUUAAAGUUGAAGCCACCGAUGUAAUGGAAAUAGUUGACCUGAAACAGAAAAGACAGCAUUGUUGUAAAGUUCUAUAUGAAUAUCCUGGAAAGCACGUAAUUGUGCGAUCGAUGCUAUGGGGAACAUCUCUGGUCUCUGGUACUGAAGUACAUUGGUUGGUGUUUUGCACGCACUUGUAGAUAUUCUCCAAGAGUGUAUUCAUUUUCCUGACAACACAAGAUGGUAUAUGUCGUAAUCGGCAUUUCGAAAGGCCUCUGCGUUCCGAGUUCCAAACUCAAAUACAAGCGGCCUUACGAACAGCUAAGGAGCGGCACAGGCACAGAAGACGAGGGACGACGGCAGGAGGACCAAGGAUCCAGAGGGACUUAUGGGACGACGAUCGUGAGAAAGAACAAGAGGAAGAGCCCGAAAAUACAUAAAGAAACAAGAAGGAAAUAAACGGGUAUUUACAGAUGCGACAAUCCACGGUCACAGGAGAGAGGGAUUGCCACAGGAGAGAGGGAUUGCUGCAGGAGAGAGGGAUUCCACAUACAUGCUCACACAUGCACACACAUACACGCACACACACAUCACACGUAUUUCGCAGGGUCACUUGUGAAGUAGCGUGCUGCUCCUACGCCUCACAUUACACACAUACACCACACAUACUCUACCCGAAGAGGGUGGAGCAAAUCGGCACUUUUCAGUGCCACAUUUUUAAGACGUUGACGUUGAUACAUCUGUGUUGCAAUAAACAAUCGGUACUAUUCAGUUCCACUCAAUAAAAGUUUAUAUUAU
This 1102-nucleotide long non-coding RNA is filed under the name Harpegnathos saltator (Jerdon's jumping ant). RNAcentral describes it as "uncharacterized LOC112588800, transcript variant X4". Lineage: Eukaryota; Metazoa; Arthropoda; Insecta; Hymenoptera; Formicidae. The record is from RNAcentral.